UACGAAGGUGGCAAGCGUUGUCCGGAAUUAUUGGGCGUAAAGAGCUCGUAGGCGGUUUGUUGCGUCGGCUGUGAAAUCCCGAGGCUCAACCUCGGGUCUGCAGUCGAUACGAGCAAACUAGAGUGUUGCAGGGGAGACUGGAAUUCCUGGUGUAGCGGUGAAAUGCGCAGAUAUCAGGAGGAACACCGGUGGCGAAGGCGGGUCUCUGGGCAACAACUGACGCUGAGGAGCGAAAGCGUGGGGAGCGAACAGG
RNAcentral lists this ribosomal RNA (253 nucleotides) under uncultured bacterium. RNAcentral describes it as "partial 16S ribosomal RNA". It matches the Rfam family "Bacterial small subunit ribosomal RNA", at positions 524 to 776 of the family's 1533-position model. The record is from RNAcentral.